GGUCCUGGAGCCCGUUCUGGAGCCUCCCGGCCUGGAUUCCCCGGACGCGCCCUGCAGGUCCCCGGGCCGAGGGCAGGGCGGGCGCCGGGUGGUCCGGGAGGGCGGGCGCCAGGGUCCUCCCCGCGCCCGCCCUCUUCCUCCGAGGCAGCUGGAGACCCCCGGGCUCCCCUCCCCCGCCGCCCGCCACAUCUGGUUCCACUCAGGUCCUCCCCCACCUUCAGGCGCGCUCCUCCUCCUUUCUCCCCCGCUUUCAGAAAAGCGGAGCUGAUUUUUUAAAGCCCAGUCUCACACACACACGCACACACGCUUCUGGAAAAAAAAGGAGGGAAAAGUUGGGAGAGGCCCGCUCCCCGGCGCUCCCCCCGCGCCCGGCCCCCGAAGUUGGCCAAGUUGGCAGCGCCUUACCCGGGAGGGCGGCGGCGGCGGCGCUGGCGGCGGCGGCGGCGGCCCGGGAGCAGCCGAGGUGCAGACCCCCGAGGAGCAGGACGCAGCGCAGCAGGUCACCGCAGCACAGAGCACUGGGCUGAGAAUUAGGAUGCUGGAGUCCAGCUCCACCUCUACAUCUGAUUCCCGGAGCGACCUUGGAAAAGUUACUUGGGCUGUCUAGGCUCAAAGCCGGACGGAGAAAUGUAGAGACCCUAAUGCAAACAUUCACGUUCUCCCACCGCGAGUAAUCAAAUAAAAACACUAUGAAACCGUAA
This is a long non-coding RNA of Phacochoerus africanus (Common warthog), 701 nucleotides long. RefSeq lists it as uncharacterized. The record is from RefSeq and is a predicted model, not a curated record. The transcript is spliced from 2 exons. Lineage: Eukaryota; Metazoa; Chordata; Mammalia; Artiodactyla; Suidae.